UUUUCCUACGGGGGGCAGCAGUGGGGGAUAUUGGACAAUGGGGGGAACCCUGAUGCAGCGACGCCGCGUGGGUGAAGGAGUACUUCGGUACGUAAAGCCCUAUCAGCAGGAAAGAAAAUGACGGUACCUGACUAAGAAGCCCCGGCUAACUACGUGCCAGCAGCCGCGGUAAUACGUAGGGGGCAAGCGUUAUCCGGAUUUACUGGGUGUAAAGGGAGCGUAGACGGCAGAGCAAGUCUGAAGUGAAAGCCCGCGGCCCAACUGCGGGACUGCUUUGGAAACUGCCCGGCUAGAGUGCUGGAGAG
Molecule: ribosomal RNA, 305 nt
Filed under: uncultured bacterium
Lineage: Bacteria
Description: bacterial SSU rRNA
Rfam family: Bacterial small subunit ribosomal RNA
Source: RNAcentral